UACGGAGGGAGCUAGCGUUGUUCGGAUAUACUGGGCGUAAAGCGCACGUAGGCGGCGCCGUAAGUCAGGGGUGAAAUCCCGGAGCUCAACUCCGGAACUGCCCUUGAAACUGCAGUGCUAGAAUCCUGGAGAGGCGAGUGGAAUUCCGAGUGUAGAGGUGAAAUUCGUAGAUAUUCGGAAGAACACCAGUGGCGAAGGCGACUCGCUGGACAGGUAUUGACGCUGAGGUGCGAAAGCGUGGGUAGCAAACAGG
This 253-nucleotide ribosomal RNA is filed under the name uncultured bacterium. RNAcentral describes it as "partial 16S ribosomal RNA". It matches the Rfam family "Bacterial small subunit ribosomal RNA", at positions 524 to 776 of the family's 1533-position model. The record is from RNAcentral.